RNAcentral lists this ribosomal RNA (268 nucleotides) under uncultured Spirochaeta sp. Its description in RNAcentral is "partial 16S ribosomal RNA". It matches the Rfam family "Bacterial small subunit ribosomal RNA", at positions 1114 to 1382 of the family's 1533-position model. Lineage: Bacteria; Pseudomonadati; Spirochaetota; Spirochaetia; Spirochaetales; Spirochaetaceae. The record is from RNAcentral.
GUUGCACCACGAGAGGUGGGGACGUCAGGCGGGACCGCCGGUGACAAACCGGAGGAAGUGGGGACGGACGUCAAGUCAUCAUGGCCCUUAUGUCCUGGGCUACACACGUGCUACAAUGGCCGGUACAGAGCGCAGCGAGGCCGCGAGGCGGAGCGAAUCGCUUAAAGCCGGUCCCAGUACGGAUUGGAGUCUGCAACCCGACUCCAUGAAGUUGGAAUCGCUAGUAAUCGCGCAUCAGCAUGGCGCGGUGAAUACGUUCCCGGGCCUU